This 82-nucleotide ribosomal RNA is filed under the name Suillus luteus. Its description in RNAcentral is "partial 5.8S ribosomal RNA". It matches the Rfam family "5.8S ribosomal RNA", at positions 1 to 79 of the family's 154-position model. From Rfam's summary of the family: 5.8S ribosomal RNA (5.8S rRNA) is a component of the large subunit of the eukaryotic ribosome. Lineage: Eukaryota; Fungi; Basidiomycota; Agaricomycetes; Boletales; Suillaceae. The record is from RNAcentral.
UACAACUUUCAGCAACGGAUCUCUUGGCUCUCGCAUCGAUGAAGAACGCAGCGAAUCGCGAUAUGUAAUGUGAAUUGCAGAU